RNAcentral lists this ribosomal RNA (429 nucleotides) under Chloroflexota bacterium. RNAcentral's name for it is "Chloroflexi bacterium partial 16S ribosomal RNA". It matches the Rfam family "Bacterial small subunit ribosomal RNA", at positions 355 to 776 of the family's 1533-position model. The record is from RNAcentral. Lineage: Bacteria; Bacillati; Chloroflexota.
UGGGGAAUAUUGCACAAUGGGCGCAAGCCUGAUGCAGCCAUGCCGCGUGUGUGAAGACGGCCUUCGGGUUGUAAAGCACUUUCAGCGGGGAGGAAGGCGUUAAGGUUAAUAACCUUGGCGAUUGACGUUACCCGCAGAAGAAGCACCGGCUAACUCCGUGCCAGCAGCCGCGGUAAUACGGAGGGUGCAAGCGUUAAUCGGAAUUACUGGGCGUAAAGCGCACGCAGGCGGUCUGGCAAGUCGGAUGUGAAAUCCCCGGGCUCAACCUAGGAACUGCAUUCGAAACUGGCAGGCUAGAGUCUUGUAGAGGGGGGUAGAAUUCCAGGUGUAGCGGUGAAAUGCGUAGAGAUCUGGAGGAAUACCGGUGGCGAAGGCGGCCCCCUGGACAAGGACUGACGCUCAGGUGCGAAAGCGUGGGGAGCAAACAGG